UCCAUGUGUAUGUUCUUUAAAACAUUUUUUUCCUCUGUUCCAUUAAUUAUUUAUUUUAUUUUAUUUAUAUCCUCCAAUGCAUGUACCCCCAUUUCUUUGAUUCUUUUCUUUGAAGGCAGCAGCAAGUGGUGUAAUAACUAUAAAAGGUUUCAACUGGGGCUGGUUUUACCUUGUCAUUUCUGGAGUCAUAAACAAGUUGAGAAAGUAGUCAUCAAUUCCAUAAAGCUGGGAACUUGUAAAAGAGAAUCAAUUAUUAUAGUCUCUAAGAGCUGUUUUAUCUCUCUUGAGACACCCUUUAUUGUUGAGGUAAUGGAUUUCAAAGAAUUCUUCACUGAAUAUGGUGAAGCCCAUCAAUAUGAAAUUCUUGAGGUUGUUGGCAAGGGAAGCUAUGGUGUUGUUGCAGCAGCAAUUGAUACUCAUACUGGAGAAAAGGUAGCAAUAAAGAAGAUCAAUGAUGUUUUUGAGCAUACCUGUGAAGCCACCCGCAUCCUUAGAGAAAUAAAGCUCCUUCGGUUGCUUCGGCACCCAGAUAUUGUAGAAAUAAAGCAUAUUAUGUUGCCUCCAUGUCCGAGGGAAUUCAAGGAUAUAUAUGUUGUUUUCGAGUUGAUGGAAUGUGACCUUCAGAAUGUAAUUAAAGCAAAUAACAGUCUUACUGCUGAACAUUAUCAAUUCUUUAUGUAUCAGCUUCUUCGAGGGUUAAAGUAUAUGCAUACAGCUAACGUAUUCCAUCGGGAUUUGAAGCCAAAGAACAUUCUAGCAAAUGCAGAUUGCAAGCUGAAAAUUUGUGAUUUUGGGCUUGCUCGGGUAUCAUUUGGAGAUACCCCAUCUGCUGUUUUCUGGACUGACUACGUGGCAACUCGGUGGUACCGUGCUCCAGAACUUUGUGGUUCCUUUUUCUCCAAAGUAAGUAUGAUGUACACUCCAGCAGUUGAUAUCUGGAGUAUAGGAUGUAUAUUUGCAGAAAUGCUUACAGGAAAACCAUUAUUUCCGGGGAAGAAUGCGGUUCACCAAUUGGAUCUCAUAACUGAUUUGCUUGGUUCGCCGUCCACUGAAGCCAUUGCAAGGAUUAAAAAUGAAAAAGCAAGGAGAUAUUUAAGCAGCAUGAAGAAGAAGGCACCUAUCCCUCUCUCCGAGAAAUUCCCCCACAUUGAUCCACUGGCUCUAAAAUUGCUUGAGCGUUUGAUUGCAUUUGAUCCCAAAGAUCGCCCUUCUGCUGAAGAGGCGCUAGCACAUCCAUAUUUCCGUGGUUUGGCAAACAAGGAACAGGAACCAUCAUCUCAGACUAUCUCAAAGUUUGAAUUUGACUUUGACCGAAGAAAACUUGGGAAAGAGGAUCUUAGGGAGCUCAUCUACCGAGAGAUUCUGGAAUAUCACCCUGAGAUGCUGAAGGAGCAUCUUCAUGGCACUGAUCACACUCACUUUAUGUAUCCAAGCGGAGUUGAUUGCUUCAAACAACAAUUUGACCAUCUCGAGGGGCACAAUGGUAGAGGUGGAAGUACUCUCUUUCCAAGACGCUAUGCCUCCUUGCCCAGAGAACGAGUCUGUGCUUCCACGGAUGAGGAAGCUGAUAAGGAUAGUGAAUUCGAAAGGCAUGUUGUAGCUGCUAUGGCUCAGAGAUGCCUUCCAAGCCCCCCGAGUUCCCCUAAGGUCAAAAAACCGGAUACUGCUAAUGCAGUCAAAGGUCAUAUGGAGACUGGCCGUUCUACGCCAAAGAAUAGUACACCAAAGAAUACCGAACGCUGCAUGCUAAGAAGUUCUAGUAUUAGUUUUUCCAAAUGUGUUGGAGCCAUAUGGGACUCCGAGGUAAGUGUUCUGAUCUGUAGUCAAUAAGAAGAAAAACGCAAUAUCAGUCAAUCAAUCAACUAUGCCCCAAUCUAAAUUAGUUGGGCUUACAAGAGCCUGUAUUGUGAAUAUGUAGUUACAAAUAACUCAGCCAAAGUGUAGGAAUUAGAACUAACACCCUUCCAAAUAGAAAAACUUCACAUUUUUCUUUGUUUGAACAAACAAUACAUAAGAAAAAUGCGAGCUCUUCAAACCUCGGAGGAAAAUUGAUAUAUGAAAUGCCCCUAAAAUUUUUUUUUUUUUUUUUUUUGACUUAUUAAACAUCAUAUCAUUAAGAUAUCUAGUUGAGGAUUUCUACAAAGAUGGUAAUUCACACCAUCUAUUCACUGAUAAUUCCCAUUGCCAUUGUUGUCGCCGUCCACCAUUAUCAACUAUUACCACCCACAACCACGAUCUUGGCUCAGCCACAACCAUCGUUUCCCCUGAUCACUACUAUUGCCAGUCACCUUCAACACUCGCUACUACCCACAACCACCACCAUCCUCAAUCGGCACAACCACCACCAUUGCUAGCCAUUAUUGAUAUAGUAGUAGAUUAUUUAGUAUGUUAUUUGAAUUGUAUAUUUAUUAAUUUAAAUAAAGACAAAUUUUAUAAAUUUAGAUAUUCAGACAUUUAAAUCUUAAUAUACAUCUUAAUAUUCAAAUAUAUAUUGAGAUUUAGACGUCUUAAUCUUAAUAAAAAUAAAUGAGGCCUAAAUGUCUGGAUUAAUGGGUGGCAAAAACCUUAGAAGAGCGAUAAUAUGAAUGGGAGAUAGUAUUAAUUUUUGUGCUUGCUCAUAAACUGCAAAUAAAAGGUGCGCAUGAUAAUAGGAAUGUAGAAUUUGCUUUUACCGUAAUAGCUACAUUUCCCUCAGGAUACAACCUGCAAGCCAUAUCAAAACGGGAUAAGUAGAUCAUCGAAGACAGCUUUGUAUGCUUGACCAUUUUUAUUCUACUGGAUGGAUAAGGAAUUGCUAGAUUUCUGGUAAGUGACAUUGAUUGCAAUGUAAUUGCUCAUGUACUCAAAUGGAGUCUUGGUUGGUUGUAUUGUAAACUAUAAACAAUUUAGCUAUGACAUCAUUACUUUGACUUCAGUUGUCUUGUUACUAUUGUACUAAUUUCAUUAAGGCAUUCUGAUGGGAUUUCGAAUA
Molecule: RNA transcript, 2971 nt
Organism: Lycium ferocissimum
Lineage: Eukaryota; Viridiplantae; Streptophyta; Magnoliopsida; Solanales; Solanaceae
Gene name: mitogen-activated protein kinase 9-like
Exons: 12
Source: RefSeq, a predicted model, not a curated record